Molecule: non-coding RNA, 74 nt
Organism: Dendroctonus ponderosae (mountain pine beetle)
Lineage: Eukaryota; Metazoa; Arthropoda; Insecta; Coleoptera; Curculionidae
Source: Rfam
CGGGGUCAAAUUGACUCUAGUAGGGAGUCCGUUAAUUUAUAGCGACUCCCUAACGGAGUCAGGUUGACUCCCUU